AGGAUUGGCAGCAGUUAGCUCAGGGCUAAUCUUCCUAAAAAAACAAACAAACAAAACCAACUAUUUGAAAUAGUAAGAAUAGAUUUGAAAGGGAGAAAAAAGCCAUCCACAGAGAUUGGGAGCAUUUGUAUUAGGGACCACAUAGGGCAUCUGGAAUUAGAUGCAUCUUUUAGUAGAUUUUUUUUUUUUUUAACUAGCUUACCAGUAUUUCAAAAUACCAGUGCCCAGUUUCCAUUGACUGUCACCUGUAGAUGUUGCUUAAAGCCAGAUGCAUUUGUGAUUUACCACUUAUAAUUCUCUGCCAGCCCUGUACCUGGGGAGAUAAUUUCAGGUGUUCUCUGGAAUAGUAACCAGUCAUUUGAUGCAAGUGCAAAGCCAAAUCUAGUUACUGGAAUUGAAAAUAAUGAAGCCUAGGGCUUAUUUUGGACAACCAGGCAGUUGGAGCAGCUGAAUACUAAAAUAUUGGCCUGUCUGGUGGUUUCCUCUGUGGUUUCUUAUCUCUGUGGGUUAUGCACCUUCACCCAUAGGGAAACAGCCUUAACACAGCUUCCAGCAGCCCUUCUGUUGUGAGGCAGCUUUUCACUCAAAAGAGAAGUAAAUUAGUCAUUGAACUUUUCGAGUAUAUAAUGAAAAGAAAUACCUUACUUAAAAUCAAAUUUGGAGUUUACUACCCGAUAGCCCAUGGUUGCUUUUCUGGCCAAACUAUUAUCCUCCUUUGAGGCAAACUCUUCAGCUGUAAGUUAGCAGACGGUUUCAAAACAGAGCAAGUAAAUUAAUGGAAAGUGCAAAAAUCAGAAUAAAUAGAAUAGAAAAUAAAUUUAUUUUUGUUUUGUCAUUUAAUCUCAACUGAUAAAACAGGAAUAUACGUAUGUGUAAUUGUCAGGUUCAAAAUCUUGUCAAGUAAACUGCUUCACUCUGUUUUAAUUAUUCUGUAUAAAAAGAAGAAUCUCAGAGAAAGCACACACAUUUCCAGUGGUUAACCGUAUGUCUUUGAAAGUUUUGUAUAAGAUUGAACCAAUAUUGGAUGUUUUAGGAGGGCUGAUCUUGUUGCAGUUCAGUUUUAUUCCUAAGUCACUUACUAACUCAUAUGGUGCUGUUUCUAUUUUCUUUUAACUUAAGUUGCACUUAAUGAUAAACUUUCUUCUCUUCCUGCCAGACUUCCUGUAGAGUAGCCUGUGCUUUCUGCUAUGAUUUCCUUACCACUCACUAACUGUCUGUAAUCACUUGCAAUUUGACUUUGGCCUCACUUCUCCAGACUCUCACCCUUUAUGUCACAUUGUAAAGAACCACAUCCUGUUGAAUUUACUUCUGCACCAUCUGAUAUGCCCAAUUUCCCACUCUACUGGUAUUACAGGAGCUCCCCUCUGAAAUAACUCCCAAAGCUGUACGUAUUACCCACUGCUGCAUUACUACCAGACACAUCUGCUUUAGUCACAUCUCUGCUCAUGAAUGUGAGCAUGUUUUUGAACACAUUAACACCGAAGUUCUACGUGGCCCUGACAGGCACUUCCUCACUAAUAUCAGGGCUUAUUUUGAUAUUUGAAUGGUGGUAUUUUCGCAAGUAUGGAACGUCAUUCAUUGAGCAAGUCUCAGUAAGCCACUUACGCCCCCUUCUGGGAGGGGUUGACAACAACUCCUCCAACAAUUCUAACUCCAGUAAUGGGGACUCGGAUUCCAAUAGGCAAAGCGUCUCAGAAUGCAAAGUAUGGCGAAAUCCGUUAAAUUUAUUUAGGGGCGCUGAAUAUAAUCGGUACACUUGGGUGACAGGACGAGAGCCUCUGACUUAUUAUGACAUGAAUCUCUCUGCCCAGGACCACCAGACAUUCUUUACUUGUGACUCGGACCAUCUGCGCCCCGCAGAUGCAAUAAUGCAGAAAGCCUGGAGAGAGAGAAACCCCCAGGCUAGGAUUUCUGCAGCUCAUGAAGCCUUAGAGAUAAAUGAAAUUAGGUCCAGAGUUGAAGUUCCCCUAAUUGCUUCCUCUACCAUCUGGGAGAUAAAAUUGUUACCAAAGUGUGCAACUGCUUAUAUUCUCUUGGCUGAAGAAGAAGCAACAACCAUUGCUGAAGCAGAAAAGCUGUUUAAGCAGGCCCUGAAGGCUGGAGAUGGCUGUUACCGGCGUUCUCAGCAGCUACAGCAUCAUGGAUCCCAGUAUGAAGCCCAACAUAGACGAGACACCAAUGUCUUGGUCUACAUCAAAAGAAGGCUAGCAAUGUGUGCCAGAAGACUCGGGAGGACCAGGGAAGCAGUGAAAAUGAUGAGAGAUUUAAUGAAGGAGUUCCCCUUGCUGAGCAUGUUCAACAUCCAUGAAAAUCUUUUAGAAGCCCUUCUGGAACUACAAGCAUAUGCUGAUGUUCAGGCAGUCUUAGCAAAGUAUGAUGAUAUAAGCUUACCAAAGUCGGCAACAAUAUGCUACACAGCUGCCUUGCUCAAAGCAAGAGCUGUCUCUGACAAAUUCUCUCCCGAGGCUGCAUCUCGGCGUGGACUGAGCACAGCAGAGAUGAAUGCGGUAGAGGCCAUUCAUAGAGCUGUGGAAUUCAAUCCUCACGUGCCAAAAUACCUACUAGAAAUGAAAAGCUUAAUCCUACCCCCAGAACAUAUCCUGAAGAGAGGGGACAGUGAAGCAAUAGCAUAUGCCUUCUUUCAUCUGGCACACUGGAAGAGGGUGGAAGGGGCUUUGAAUCUUUUGCAUUGUACAUGGGAAGGCACUUUUCGGAUGAUCCCCUAUCCCUUGGAAAAGGGGCAUCUGUUUUAUCCUUACCCAAUCUGUACAGAAACAGCAGACCGAGAGCUGCUGCCCUCUUUCCAUGAAGUCUCAGUUUACCCAAAGAAAGAGCUUCCCUUCUUUAUUCUCUUUACUGCUGGACUGUGUUCCUUCACAGCCAUGCUGGCCCUCCUGACACAUCAGUUCCCAGAACUUAUGGGGGUCUUCGCAAAAGCUAUGAUUGACAUUUUCUGCUCGGCAGAGUUCAGGGACUGGAAUUGCAAGAGUAUUUUCAUGCGUGUUGAAGAUGAACUGGAAAUCCCACCGGCACCUCAAUCUCAACAUUUCCAAAACUGAACUCAUCACCCUUCUUCCCCCACCACCAAAACCGCUCUUCCUCCUGUAUUCCUGACCUCCGCCAGUGGCACUGCCAUCCGCUCAGUUGCUCAACCAGAAACUCAGCAGCCCUCCCAAGCUCCCUCUCUCCCUCCCCACAUCCCGUCUGUCUUGGCUUCCACACCCUGUCGGGCCUAACCUCUUAAGCCACUACAUUCAGUAAAUAUAAUUCACGUCUUCUUCCCCUCCUUCUCUCCCCGUGGCCUCUCUUAGUUUAGAUCUUCAUUAUUUCUUGCCUGGCCUCCUGCAAGAGUCUUCACUGGUCUCUUUGCUUCCAGUCUUAUCCUCUGCCAGUCUUUUUCUCCUACUGACACAAGAAUGAUCUUUCUAAAUUGCAAGUCUAAGCAUGUCACUUCCCUGCUUGGAUUUCUCCAGUGGUUUCCCACCAUCUUCAGGAUAAAGUCCCAGCUCUUUAGCAUAGCAUGCAAGGUCCUUUAUGAUCUGGCCUUGCUUGCCUCUUCAGUCUCAUCCCUCCCAACUUUUGCACAGACACUACUCUUGGGCCAUAGUGAAUUACUCACCAUUCCCAGAUGCACCAGGCUCUUGUGUAGCUCAGUGCCUUUGCACGUGCUGUUUGCGCUGCAUGGAAUGCCCUUUCCCAUCACCACCCUGACUUGUCCACUCUACUAAUGCCUCUUUGUUCUUUUAUACUCAGCUUUCUUUCUAAGUUUCUCCUAAGCUGAGUUAGAUGUCUCUCCUCCAUGAUCCCACAGUAUUCCAUGAAUACUUAUAUUAUCACAUUUAUUGUAUUGUACUAUAAUUGUUGAAAACUUGUCUGUCUCCCUUUUAGAAUGUGAGCUCCUUGAGAGCAGAACUAUGUCUUCCUUAUCUCUGUAUCCCCAAAGCUUUGCACAGUAACUUGCACAUAGUAGGUUUUCAAUAAAUGAUUAUUAAAUAAAUAAAUGGUAGUGGUUUCUGCAGAAAGAAUCAAUGUAAAAAUCAGAUACAGCUUAGCAUCUCUUCUCUUCUUUUAUAAUUAUGGACUCAGAAUUGAAAGGUACCUUAAACAGAUUGCCUUCAACAGUAACAUGAUGGAGGUCAUCUGGACUCAUCUUCAAUACUUUCACAAUGGGGAGUUCACCUAUUCAACAGGGAAGCCCAUUUCAUUUUUGGAUCACUCGGAUCUCUUCUUUAUACUGAUAAAAGCUACCUCCCUGUAAUUUUCACUUAUUGUUCCUGUUCUACCCUCUGAAACUAUAGUGAACAAGUCUACUUCCUCUUGCAAAUUCUUAAGACAGCUAAUAUAUUCUUGGCCACCUCUCACCUCUAACUUUCUACCUUCUAUGUUCCCUAGGCAGAAUAUCUUAAAUUUCCUUAAGUCUUCUGUACAUGAUAUGAUUUCUAAACCCAGUAUCACCCAAGUUGCCUCCCUGCAUGCUCCCUAGUUAAUGGACCCAUGCUUUUUAUUAUUUUCUUCUAUUCUCAAGUCAACUUCUAAGUAAAAGUAGUUGCCAAAAGUCUGAGUAGAUUAGAGUGUAACUUAGUAAAAUUUAAAAUAAGAAUACAUUUACAACAUUAGACAAUUACUGUUCCUCCUUUUAUGUUCCUCUCUUAAACUUUUUUUUAAAGCAUAUCUGUAGAAGUCAUUGUCAUUGGCCUAGUAUUCUUCAUUAUAUGAACAAAUAGCACUUGGUGGGAGUUUUGCAUCAGAACAGAGCUUCUCAGCCUCUAGCGUGCAUAAAAUUCACCUGGCCCCGCCACCAGAAUCUUGAGUGCUAGCACCUGGAAUCUGUUUUUAGUAAGGACCCCAGCAGAUUCUGAGGAUGGGGGUUGAGGACCACGUUUCCUUUCAGGAACACCAAUCUCAAGAAAGCCAAAACUUUGAGCAGCCUUUUGCAGGUAGAUGGUGUGCUGUCAGAGCUGGUGAGGCGAAAGCUUUCUAGGAAUCAGUGGUUUCGCCCUGGCUGCACCUCGGAAUCAUCUAGGGAGCUUAAAAAUUACUGAUGUCUGUCCUCCCUCCCCACGGGGACUCUCACUUAAUUGAUCUGGGGCACAGCGUGGGUAUCUGAGUUUUCAGACGGUCCCCAGGUGAUGUGGGGGUGCAGCCAGGGCUGAGAACCACUAUACUGAAUGAAAUGACUAAUUGCCUAAAACUGCCUUAACCAGGGAGCAGAUUGGGAAGAAUGGAGGACAUUACAUAGCAUAUGACUGGGUGUUCUCCACGAACGGCUGCACAGCCUCCAGAACAUCGGAGAGUGUGUUCAUUACCUAUGUUAGACAAACGGCCACUCUCCUCAUUUAAUGUUUCCAAAGCUUUGGUUUUGCGUCUAGGAUCAAGUGAUUGAAUAAAAUAUAAACUUGCCUUUACAGUCUUCAUAUUUUAUUCUCUACCAAGGUGUGGUGUUUUGCUUGGUUACUCAUAUUUUUCAAAUGUAGUUUAGAUAAAUUUGCUUUUAAACCUCUGUCUGGAGGAUCACAUUCAUCUUGCUUUUCAUUAAGAUUUAGCAGUUUCCAAAAUGUCUGGAGGGACUUCAUGGGGAAGGAAGAUGGAUGGCCUGAAGGAGACAAGCCCCAUCUCUCGCCUGCUCCCCCCCACCCCGCCCCCAGAGUCUUCUCCACAUUUUCACCCUUGCCACUUCAUUAGGCCCCUCAUGAAGCCCCCACAGGUUACCACAGCCACUCUAUAGGCUGCCUGCAACCAUUUGCAGCUUGUGAAAAUGAUUUUCUCAGCCCUCGUCUGAGAUAACGGCCCUGGGAUAAUGACUUUUAGUAGAUGCGGAGAGAUUGCACUGCCACCCUCCAGGCCACAAGCAGCUUGGGAACUCUCCAGCGUGUUUACAUGUUGAUAUGCAGCCAGCAAGGCAGGCCACAGUGGAGUGUGAACCACUGGAAAAUAGUAAAAUGAGAGGCUUCAACUGGCUUUCCUCCCUAAUCUAAUCUACCUCAAUGACUUAGGACUAACUCUUCCUAGAAUGUUUAGUUACCAAGAUAAGGUUGCUCAUAUAAAGAAGUUAUCAUUCCAAACCCAGCCCCUCACAGAAUGUGGGAAUGUCAGCAUUCUGACCCCUUCUGCUUUGAAGGGCCCUGUCUUUCCUCCUCUGGUCUCUCUCCUUCCCUGAGACGGAGCCCCCUGACUUCUGACUCUCAUCUUCACUUAUAGGCCCUGACCUCUUUGAAGUCUGAUAUUGAUUACAGUGAAAUGUCAAUUGUCUCAUUGCAAUAGGGCACCUGGAACUUAUUCAGAUAAGCAGAGGCGUUUUGAAUGUUAACGAAGCACGUUGGGAGCCAUGACCUUCUUCUAAAUAAUGGUGUUUGGGGAAAAGGAGGAUCAGGCGAUUGAAGUGUCACUCUCUCUUUUUUAUUAGUUCAGUUGCUUUUUCUCACCACAAGACACUGAUUGAAUUAUGGUGCAUUUUGGACCGUGUAUCUCUGCCCUCUGGACAGAAGUUUUAGACAUUGAGAUAGAUGAGCUGUUCCAGGGUUGCCUGGUGUUGCUCAUUCAGACUUAACUUUUCAGGCAAUAAAUUUCCCAAGUCUAUGAGUGAAACUGCUGUUUCUCUGUAUGCAUUGGUUGAGUCUCUGGCCAGAGUAUUGACUGAUUUUCAAACGUGAAGAAAUGUAAAUCAGCAUCCCAAGCAAGGCAGGUUCCACCAAACUUUCUUUUUUUUAAUACCUCCUGAUGAAAGCCACUGACCUUUAUCGGGUUACUAAGUGAAAGGGUUUAGCAGCAUCAGAUGACUCGUCACAUUGUCUGCCUCUUCCCUGUGGCUGAGGGGUGGGGAGGGGGAUGUGGGAAGGGGUGCUAAGGAGGAAGGUAGCUUAGUAAUCAGGGAUGCACACCUCAACUGAGGUGAAAAGGUUCAAGGGAUUCUUUUCUCACUUCUCCCAAGGAUAACACAUUCUAGAUGUGAGGGAGAGCAGUAAAUCAUCACGUAUAUUGGAGGCAUUGGGACUUAACUCUCUUGUGGAACCUUGUUGAGAAGGGCAGGUAUAGUCGAGGAAGGCAGGGCCCACUGUAUCCUGCUGUGCAGUGUGGGAAGAGAGGCAAUUACAGGCAUCAAACAGGGUGAGGCUCACCUUGAUUUCCAGAAGCCUCACUUUUCCACUUUUUAUCAAAAUGAGGUCAGUGCCCAAAACAAAGCAAACAAACAAACAAACAGGUAUUUAUUUGAACCAACUUUGCAACAACAUCUCCAUUCAUUCUGCUGCCAAGCUGAGACUCCCUGAUAUCCCCUCGUUUUAGUGCAUGAAGUCGCCCAGAGUGCAGACUUUGAGUGAUGCCUUUCAUCUGACUGCACUGGUUCAUGCUAAUACUUCACUGGUUCCUUCCCGCAUGAGUCACAACUUUGGCAGUUCUAAAUCUGUUUUUGGUCAAGUCUUUUGGAUAUGAUAACUUCACCAACAAUAUCACCUUGUUCCUUGAGCCCCAUCUUCCAGCCCUUGUCAGAAUCUGGUUUAUCCAGACCACUUCAACACCUCGCUUCUCUUUAUGGAACUGAGUGUUAGAGGCAAAUGCUGUGUUUUAUGGAGCCUUGGUGGUCUCUGAUUACAUAUAAAUGAGUAAAAAGAUAUAUAUGUGUGUGUGUGUGUGUGUGUGUGUGUGUGUUAUAUAUAUUUUUAAUUUUAUAAUGUAUCAUGUUGGGUUAAUGCAAUCAGUAGAUUUGUUCCACAUUAUCUUCUCAUAACCAGGAUUUUACAAACUCUUUCAGAGGCAGUUUGGGAAGUACUUACUCAUUCCUGGGCCCAGUAUCUCCCAUGAUGCCUUCCAACUGCAUUCAACUCUAAACUGAAAAGGAUAGGCAGUCCGUUCUGUAGGUUCCUCAGCACUUUGUUUGCCCCCUUAAACUUUGUCAUGGAGAAAGUGGAAAGCAUCCUCCCGUCCAGUCUGUGGCACCAGCUGACGCGGAUCUAGGGACGCCCACCUGCCCUUCCCCUCACCUCACCCAGCGAGCUGCCACCAUCUCUUCGUGCCAACUCCUCAUGGACUGCAAGAAAGCAUGACUUUGAAAAAGGGAAGCCAUUCCGAGAUUUUAAAACAUUCAUGGACUGUCUGUUCCAUAUUAAAAGCUGUUUUUGUUGUACAAAAUUCAUUGAUGUUCAGUUCUAUUAUAUUUUGCCUUCAGAAAAGAAAAAAAAGUCAAAAAUAAACUUUUGUGUAUUGCAGCAA
Non-coding RNA from Equus caballus (horse), 8205 nucleotides. The record is from RefSeq and is a predicted model, not a curated record. NCBI's taxonomy places the organism in Eukaryota, Metazoa, Chordata, Mammalia, Perissodactyla, Equidae.